GAAGAACUUAGGUAAGCAGAGAAGACAGAACUGAAUGCUGGGAAUAAGGGCAGAGUGAGAGAAGCCAUGGAACUUCUGCCUGAGAUGAGCGCCAGUUAGAAUCUCCGAAUGUUUUGUGACCAGAGCCUAGCAGAAUCGUCAUCAAAGAGACCAGAGAGACUUCAUCCAGCAAAAGAUGGGAGAAGAUGCAGAGUCUCACAGCCAAACAUUAGGUGGAGCCCCAA
Arvicola amphibius (Eurasian water vole) is the source of this 224-nucleotide long non-coding RNA. RefSeq lists it as uncharacterized. The transcript has 2 exons. NCBI's taxonomy places the organism in Eukaryota, Metazoa, Chordata, Mammalia, Rodentia, Cricetidae. The record is from RefSeq and is a predicted model, not a curated record.